Molecule: ribosomal RNA, 440 nt
Filed under: uncultured bacterium
Lineage: Bacteria
Description: partial 16S ribosomal RNA
Rfam family: Bacterial small subunit ribosomal RNA
Source: RNAcentral
CCUACGUGAGGCAGCAGUGGGGGAUAUUGCACAAUGGGGGAAACCCUGAUGCAGCGACGCCGCGUGUGGGAAGACGGUCCUCUGGAUUGUAAACCACUGUCCCCAGGGACGAAGAUGACGGUACCUGGGGAGGAAGCUCCGGCUAACUACGUGCCAGCAGCCGCGGUAAUACGUAGGGAGCGCGCGUUGUCCGGAAUUACUGGGUGUAAAGGGAGCGUAGGCGGGACUGCAAGUUGGGUGUCAAAUCUACCGGCUCAACCGGUAGCCGCACUCAAAACUGCAGUUCUUGAGUGAAGUAGAGGCAGGCGGAAUUCCUAGUGUAGCGGUGAAAUGCGUAGAUAUUAGGAGGAACACCAGUGGCGAAGGCGGCCUGCUGGGCUUUUACUGACGCUGAGGCUCGAAAGUGUGGGGAGCAAACAGGAUUAGAUACCCCAGUAGUC